Dama dama (fallow deer) is the source of this 1269-nucleotide long non-coding RNA. RefSeq lists it as uncharacterized. Lineage: Eukaryota; Metazoa; Chordata; Mammalia; Artiodactyla; Cervidae. The record is from RefSeq and is a predicted model, not a curated record. The transcript has 3 exons.
GCUCACACAGCAUUAGCUGCUUUCCAAAUGGACCCAACUCACUCUUCACAAUCCCUUGGCCUCUUUCUACACCCCCUCCCUACGUCCAAUUCUUCAGAUUCUUCGAACGUGAGCUCAUCUCAGCCUCACCCGUGUCUGCUCACACACACACCCACUCAGCACCUCCCUGAAUGUUCUGAGAGACCUGCAGCUCUCUGUUCCUUUCCAGCCCAGUGCUGGCCCCAGGGCCUGUGACCCUGGCUGGGAGAGGUGACUGUACUCUUGUGAAGCCUUGGCUGUGACAGUGGGCGGACCGCGGGGCAGAGCCUGAUUCCAGAGCCGAGGCUGCUCCAGGGACGCCCAGCCCCACGGGCGGGGAGGGUGUAACAGUGGCAUCAGUGAUUCAACGGACUUGAGUCUGAGCAAACUCCAGAAGAUGGUGAAGGACAGGGAAGCUUGGUAUGCUGCAGUCCAGGGGGUCACAGAGAGUCGGACACGACUGAGCAACUGAACAACUUCCAUCUACAUUCCACAUGUUAUGACCAUACUGGAGCUACCUUCAAGGAUGUCAAUUUCACAAAAUCUCCCAGGUUAACUUACAAUGUCAGUCCUUGUUGACAAGAAAUUCAACUUUAGAUAUAACCUAUAACCCUGAUGCUGGGAAAGAUUGAAUGCAGGAGGAGGAGGAGAGGACGACAGAGGAUGAAGAGGUUGGAUGGCAUCACCAACUCAAUGGGCAUGAGUUUGAGCAAGCUCUGGAAGACGAUGAAGGACAGGGAAGCCUGGCAUGCUGCAAUCCACCGGGUUGCAAAGAGUUGGACACAACUGAACAACUAAACAACAAUUACCCUUUCUGCACUAAGCAGAGCUCAUUUUCUAGAGAAUAUCUCAUAAUUUCUUUGGUAGUUCACUUUCCUUCUUCAACUGAAUAAUGCAUUUUUCAAAACUUUCUGCCUAUCCCCAUGUGUCAUUGCCCAACUUUAAUUUGCUUUUAUUUUAUGGUUUGCUUCUAAUCUAGAGGUUUUCUAAGACUCAGGCUAUUGCACCCAAAAUGUGCUUUAAUCUAAACUGGACUUGCCUUUUACUUUUUUCCCAAUAUUGUUUCCAUCUCUCGGUCAUUUCUCCUUCUCCAGAGAUGCCAAGAUUUCAGUCCAUCCUCUGGACAGUUAGAGAUUCAUUUCAUCACCUCUCCACUAACAGCCACACACAACUAAACAGCAGUGACAUAAGACUAUUCUUUUGGCGAGCAGUUUAUGCUCAAAAAUUGCCAUUUCCUCCUCUACCUGCUCC